Molecule: non-coding RNA, 1830 nt
Organism: Lepisosteus oculatus (spotted gar)
Lineage: Eukaryota; Metazoa; Chordata; Actinopteri; Semionotiformes; Lepisosteidae
Source: RefSeq, a predicted model, not a curated record
UCUUACCUUGCUGGCUUCUGGGAAAAUCGGCCCAAGGUGCGAGUGUGUUUGUGUCUGUGUGUGCCCUGCAUGCACUGGUGUCCGAUCUAGGGUGUACCCCACUGGCGCCAUGACUAGCGUGGACAGUCUCCUGUUCCCCCAAGACCCUGAUUGGAAGAAGCGGUUAGAAAAUGGAUGGAUGGGAGGUGGUGAUAAGUCGCUCCAAACAGACUUUAGUCUCUUUUCCUGCUGCCAGCCAAAGCAAGUGACCCGGAGAUCAGCAAUUCUUGGGCGAACCCAUGAAAAUUAAAUUACAUCUAGAUUUUUAUAUAACAUUGCUGUUAAUUAUCAAAAUAAAUUGCAAACUGAAUGUAUUGGCACCUGAUAAAUGACAAGCCAGGGGUCAGGUGGCAACCCUUAGCCCACAUUAAGUACUGUCUUUGACCCACCUGUCAGCAACAAGUUUAAAAACUACCAGUGGCUUCUUAUACUGCACAGAGGACUGGUUAAAGUGUUGAUUUAAUCCAUGCCAUAGUCCCCUCCUCCCUUUAGCAGAAAGCUGCUUACACUAAAAAAAGUAGAGACAAACCGGAGUCUAGCCUAGAAACAUAGGGAUCAGGAUGGGACUGUGAGCACAGGACCCUUCUGCCUCUGGAUGGGAUGAAAGGCACAGAGGAAAGGGACAGUUGAGAGUAGCCAAUCACACCUAGCUAGUGCUUUUUGGAAAUGGGAGGAAAGCGGAGACAAUCCGCAUGAACACAGAGAGACAAAGCAAAUCAAGCCCAGGAUGCUGAUCACUGAUACAGCGGCACUGACUGCCACUUCACUUGCUAGCCCUUGCUUUUUGCACAGGCACAGAAGAGUGUUUGGAAAGAAAAAUGAACACUACUGAUCCACAGCAGUCAACGCCCACUGCUAUUUCAGCUCGGCUCCAGAACCAAACGAGGGUUUUGAAACGGUUUAUUUUUUUCACAUUUUUAUUUUGAAGUGAAAGUUUUUUAAAUUUUGUGAUUCUGAAAAACUGAUGGUCUAGAGGACAGGAGAUGCCAACAGGAGAAAGUGUGAUACAGCAUUUAACCAACUCACAGGACAAAAUAAUAAGACCCAUACUGUACAAAUGGUCUCUCUUACUGGCAAGCAAUGUAAGGGUGGCUUGAGCAAUAGAAAGCUGCCCAUCACCAUUAUUGGCCUGAACAAUUCUCUGUCCUAUUGAAAGCUGAUGGGACAGGUUCCAGUAUUGGCUUCCAAUAUCAUGUCCAGUGAAUGCAUAACAUUAUGAAGGUCCCGGUACAGCCCCAGGUUACAUUUUACUUGCCAGACAUCAAACGACAUCUUUAUUGGAUGGAAAUCUGAGAUUCCUAAGCCGUCAAGCCUAGACUGUGAUCAUUAGCCCCAAAGCCUCUCCUGUCUGUAAAGACAAUCAGUGUAAUGCACAGGGUAAUUUCAUCACCUCUCUGCAGCUCCUCGCAUUACCUCUGUGCUCCUUAAUUUGUUGACAGAGGCUUUGCAGUAAAGCAAGAUUUGAGAUACCGACGGAGCCAUCGAGCACCAGAGCGCGCGGAGCUGGCGUGGGAAGAGGAGACACACAGGCGUUUCCUACUGCAGUCCCCACCCGGGCAGUGACAGCUUGAAACAACUCCUUCUCCAACACUAUUCCCCUCACCCUCCCAGACCCCAAAUGCACUGCAGCAGUAUAUCAAGGUGAGUGUCAAGUGCACCUGCCCUGUAACCCUUGUAUCAAACCAUCUCCUGCUUCUCAGAAUAGCAGCGUAUGUCAUCAAAGUUUCAAUUGUAAAGAAAACAAGGCAGUACAAACAAAGAAAAUAUAUAAAUACAUUAUAUAUAAAAUUA